UACGUAGGGGGCAAGCGUUGUCCGGAUUUAUUGGGCGUAAAGAGCGUGUAGGCGGUUCGGUCAGUCCGCUGUGAAAGUCCAGGGCUCAACCCUGGAAUGCCGGUGGAUACUGCCGGGCUAGAGUCCGGAAGAGGCGAGUGGAAUUCCUGGUGUAGCGGUGAAAUGCGCAGAUAUCAGGAGGAACACCGAUGGCGAAGGCAGCUCGCUGGGACGGUACUGACGCUGAGGCGCGAAAACGUGGGGAGCGAACAGGAUUAGAACCGU
Molecule: ribosomal RNA, 264 nt
Filed under: uncultured bacterium
Lineage: Bacteria
Description: partial 16S ribosomal RNA
Rfam family: Bacterial small subunit ribosomal RNA
Source: RNAcentral